Molecule: non-coding RNA, 28 nt
Filed under: Mus musculus (house mouse)
Lineage: Eukaryota; Metazoa; Chordata; Mammalia; Rodentia; Muridae
Source: RNAcentral
UAGUCAUUCCUUUCUUGAAGUUUCAGAG